CGCGCCUAUAUGUGAGUAAACACACGAGCCAUUUGUUCGCGUCCCCUGAAUUUUAAUUUCGCUGUACGUCAGGUACUCUUCAUGAGGUGUCCUCCCAAUUUGGUUGGUAGUUCGGACCUGCACUGUAGUACUCGGGUUGCUAUUCCGUUUGUUUGUGAAUUUUUCUGCUCCACAAAUAGGUUUCCCCUCUGUACAAUCCGUAAUUUCUCUGUUAAAUGGAAACGGGGCAAAGGGGACAUAUAAUUUCUCUGCUAUUGCGUUGUCUGGAUCGAGUUGUUAUGUCUAGGAAUCAUACAUCUGAUGCCUGGAAGCAAGCUGAUUGAUGUAGUAAAUCAUUCUAUGAGUAUGCUCGUUUCAUAAUUUACAGAGAUCCUAGAAGUUAUUUCCGCUUUAGGCGUCUGGACUGGAUUCUGAAGUGCUUACUUAUUUUGUAGUUUGCAUUAUGCAAAUGGUGAAUGAACCCUGCGAGUAAUUUCUUUCAGCUGUAUGAAAUAUGCAUGACUUUUGGAAGAUUUUUGAAAUGUUUUGCACGUUGUACAGCUCUCACCAGCUAAAUCAAACGCAGUAUAAGUAUCUGAAGUACCAAACACCUCUUGGUUAUUGUUUAGUUUUUGGUUCUGAUGCUGAAUCUCUGUUCAUGUGCUUUUAAGGUUGGUUCGUUGUUGUAUUGGUUUGUUGCAAUAAAAAGUGCUGCUGCUUGAUAACCAAUCAUAAAAUUGUUCCUCCUGUUCUACCUUUUUUUAGUCUUGUACUCAUGUUGGGAGUGAAAAUAUUUGAUGAUUCAGUCAUACGGUGAUUGACAACUUCUUGCUUGUCUUGAUUUAGUAGCGCUCUUAUAUUUGGAUACAUAAACUUUUAUUUAGUACAGAAGACCUUGUUGCUAUUUCACGGCACUUGUUGGCAGUUUCUGCAGUCAGAUGCUUCACUGUAUAUCAUGCAAUGCAGUUGAAAGAACACACCUACUUUAUCUUAAUGUAUGUAGCUUAGCCUCGUUUGUUUUCGUUUUCUGUAGUUUAAGAUUUUAGUAUGCCAUAGGAUAUAUGUUGGAGAUAUAACGCUCUUUUUCCAGUUGUUGUGGCUGCUGAAGCAUAUUAUUUUCUGUCCGUAGGGCAGUUAGCCUGUUGAAGGCAGUUGCUUGGGCUUGUUGAGCAUAAAAGGUAGCUUAGCCUUGUUUCACUAAACAAGGCUAACAUCAAGUAUGCCAACCCAAAGGGGCUACCAUCCCUUGUGUUUCUAUUAUGUUUAAUCAGUUAUAUGUCUUUCUUCUCCACUAUAGGACUGGUGGGCUAGCAUCAAGUAUGCCAACCCAAAGGGGCUUGGUUUACAGGAGUUUGAGGCAGAACUGGAUGAGUUACUGUCCAGGAGUCCAAGAAUUGAUGCUAGGGAGCUUAAAGACUAUGAACUGCACCAGGAUCAGCUAGCACAGGGGGCCUAUGCUGCUGGUUUAAUCAGGACAUCGACCGAUGGGUACCAAAAAAUGGCACUGUCAAGGAAAAUUCUACUGGGCAUGUACCUGGAGGGUAAGAAGUAUACACCCGAGGCGGACCACUUUCGCAAGGAACUGCACCUGCAGAUCGAAGCAUUAGAGCAUCCCUUAUCCGCUCUCGCCAAGUCCAAGAAGAACUAUCAGACUAUGCCACUCCUGUUCCUGGAGAUGCCUGAUCUCCUCCCUAAGCAGGAGAAGAAGAAUAAGAGAGCUUGAGGCUGUUGCUGGACUGCUAGUCUGCUACAAGAGGAAAGAGGUGGUUUAUCUGACUGUACAGAAUUUGGUGUGAGGCCUGAGCCGGCCCAGGCCACAGACAGGAACCUUGUAUUUUCAUUUUGAAGUCGAAUAUGUACAUUUUAGGACCUGUCGUAUGUGAUGUUGUUGCAUACGCUAUAGAAAACGAAGAUGCCAUAUUCAUACCGUCCGGCAUACUCUAGUACAUCGAUAUGCCACGACGUUGAUACCUUAUGUUUGUGAUAUAUAGUACUUUGACAAAUGCUUAAUUUCCUGCUA
Molecule: non-coding RNA, 1999 nt
Organism: Aegilops tauschii subsp. strangulata
Lineage: Eukaryota; Viridiplantae; Streptophyta; Magnoliopsida; Poales; Poaceae
Source: RefSeq, a predicted model, not a curated record